Molecule: ribosomal RNA, 434 nt
Filed under: uncultured bacterium
Lineage: Bacteria
Description: partial 16S ribosomal RNA
Rfam family: Bacterial small subunit ribosomal RNA
Source: RNAcentral
AGCGAACGCUGGCGGCAGACCUAACACAUGCAAGUCGAACGAACCUUUCGGGGUUAGUGGCGGACGGGUGAGUAACACGUGGGAACGUGCCUUUAGGUUCGGAAUAACUCAGGGAAACUUGUGCUAAUACCGAAUGUGCCCUUCGGGGGAAAGAUUAAUCGCCUUUGGAGCGGCCCGCGUCUGAUUAGCUAGUUGGUUGAGGUAAUGGCUCACCAAGGCGACGAUCAGUAGCUGGUCUGAGAGGAUGAUCAGCCACAUUGGGACUGAGACACGGCCCAAACUCCUACGGGAGGCAGCAGUGGGGAAUCUUGCGCAAUGGGCGAAAGCCUGACGCAGCCAUGCCGCGUGAAUGAUGAAGGUCUUAGGAUUGUAAAAUUCUUUCACCGGGGACGAUAAUGACGGUACCCGGAGAAGAAGCCCCGGCUAACUUCGUG